Molecule: long non-coding RNA, 6218 nt
Organism: Equus caballus (horse)
Lineage: Eukaryota; Metazoa; Chordata; Mammalia; Perissodactyla; Equidae
Source: RefSeq, a predicted model, not a curated record
UGUAGUUGGUUUCACUAUUGUUUUUCAUUUCUCUACAGAUGCUGUACCUCUUAGCAGCUGGCACGCACUGGCCAGCUCUUGGUGACCAGUGGUGGCCUGAAUCAAGGGUAAAGAGCUCUGGAAUCCAGAGCAAGAAAGGAGAACAACUGAGCGCUAGUCCAGGUGACUCCCCAGGGAAAUGAGGGUGCUGGAAAACACUUUCAAGAACUCAGGUGAGAAGUUUUGCAGAUGAAUGGAAGAGGAUGCUGACUGUGGAGACCCGAACUGGAAGAGCAAGAGCCAACAGUUGGAGCAAAAUCGCAAAGAGAAGGAAGUCAUGGAGAAAGAAUGUUAGCAAAUGUGUAUACAGGGCCGUGAGAACUAACAUGAACAGCAGCACUCCCGGAAGGAGCAGAGAACAGAGGAAGGAGAGUUUAUUUAUAAACAAACAAUAAAAAGAAAUUUGUCUGAGCUGCUGAGAGAAUUUAGGCUAAAGGAAACCCUCAGUCUGCAGCGUACAAAUGUUCCGAGUACCAGGCAGUACCGAAGAGAAAGGCAAAUAUCUCAAGAUAUCCUGGUGAAAUUCCUGGACCUAAAGGGCAAAGAGAAAAUCCUACAAACGUCAGAAUACAAACGGAAAAAAGAAUCAGACUGUCACUUGAACUGUAUUUUGGCAACGCUGCAAAUUAGACAGUAAUGGAGUAAUGUCUAUGUGUACUUCCAAGAAAAAAGACCUGUGCCUGAAGAAUCUUAUAUGCAACCAAGAUAUUAUUCGCCUGCCAGGGUGAAAGAAUGAAAUUUAUGGAUUUGCAAUAAGUCAGAGAAAGUGCCACAGGAGUUAGAUAACUGAGAAGGAGCUCUAAACAAACAGAACCCAGAGUGAUAAGCAAAGGGCAAUGAUGGAAUGAACGGGAUAUGUAACGUAAGAGCUGAAUGAAGAUUCUGAAGCAGAAGAGGUCUCCUACCUGGGUAAUCAUCUAGAAUUAAAAAUAUCACACUGUCCUUUUAAACUUGGACAGAUGGAAAGUGGAAACAUUUGAAAGGAUCCAUCUUAUGGGGUGUGAGGAGGAAAAGAGGGAAGAGACAGGCCUGGCUUCCUGGCCUGCGAUCUGCGUGCAGUCUGCGCUCAAGAGGGCUUCGUGCUUGAUUUAAUGCUCUGCUGUCGCUGUCUUGCAAUUAUCAAUAAUUUGGAACAAGAGGCCCUGAACUGUCAUUUGCAAAGAGGCCCCGAAAUUAUAUAGCUAGGCUUGAAUAGAGAUCUCAGACUAAAUUUAAAUCCUGAAUUGACCAAGUUUAAAUCCAGAAAAUUCUGAGUUAUUUUGAUUGGAAAAGAGUAAGAUUUUUCUUUCCUCGUCCAAAAUGGUGGCUUGAGAGCUUGGUUAAAGUGAGAAAUAGACAAAAAGAGUUAGAUGUUGGUACACCAUCUUCUGUGAAGUUUAUACCAGAUAAUGUGCAGGCUGUUCGAGGGCAGAAACUCUGACUUCCUCAUCUGUUAGCCUCAUGGGACCUUUCACAGAGAAGCUGAAUAACGGUGGAAUGAAGGGGCUGUCCGCCAUCUUACAUGACACUGUGCACACUGCCAGCCAAAGCGAUGGAUUUUGAGAAUGGCAGUCUUCCUAGGUUAUGGAGAGUAUUCUCUGUAUUGAGGGCCAAUAGUCUCUGAUAUUUUGCUUUCAAUUAAAACAUUUCAAAAACUGCCAGGCGCUGUACUAAAGAUUACUGAGAGACAUAGGAUAAAGAAAUCAGGGCUACCAUUCACAGUUUAGUAAGAGCUGGACACCUCUCUUAAGCACCCCCUCUGAGCUCUUGAGCAAAAUUUCUCACUUGUGAUCCCUUACUAGCUUUCUAAGUUUUGUCUUACUGUAAAUAUUUCUUUUCCAAAGGAACAAUUCUACUUCACCACCCCUGCUAAGGGGCACAUCUCUGGGUUUUGCUGUCUAGUUCCAGCUUCCACCUUCUUUUCUGGUAUCUGUCUUGAUUUUGUUCUGGGAAAUCCUUUCCUGGCCAAAUCCCAGGACUAGGGGUGGGCACAGCCCCAGUGAAUCCCCUCUCUGCUUCCCUGGCACAGUGAGUGUUCAGGAAAGGGUGGCCAUAUGCUUUGUCAUCCAAACUGGAAUGCUUUUGAGAGUGAAAGGGGGCACUACUAAGGAUUACACUGGGACAACAGUGUAGAUGGGGACUCUUCCAGACAGACACGGAUGUGCUGUCACCCUGGUUCAGAGGAGCCACCUGACCCAGGCCAGUCUGAGCGGAGUUCCCAGAGCACCCAGGAAUGUUGGGGGAAGGAGGAGCCCUCUCCCCAGGGACUGAUAGAAGAGCUGAACUCUUUCUCCGUUUGAUGCUGGGUGAGGGUGUCCAGCUGGGAAUUGCUCCAGUCAGUGUUGUCAUGCUGCUCCCUGAGAGGGACAAAGCCGGUAUGCAGAGGAAGGCAAGGUGGGAGAAUCCCAGGGAACCAGAGCUCGAGCCCCAGUGACACAGGUCCUUAGUUUCCUCCUCACCCUGUCCCCAGGAGGACACAUUUAUGUCCAUACCUUUCACCUCCACACAGAAGCCUUCCCAGGAGACCCGCCCCACCCUGACCUCUGAGCUGAGACGCUGGGCGAGAUCUUGAUUUUCCUAUGGAAUAUUUCCUUUGUGAAGUCCUACUAUUAUCUUAGAAUAUGUCACAAAACUGACCUUAAACCAGCUCUGUGUCCUAAAUUUUUUUUCUUCAUCAUUUUGUCAUUUGCUGAGUACUCAUUUUGUGCCAUUCAUUGAGAGUUGAAAACAGAGUCCUUGCUCUCUUAGAUUUUUCUUUACUGCCUGACUUGCACAGGUUCAUUCUCUCCUCUAGAUGCAGCUGAAAUUGGUCCAAAGCUUCUGAGAUAUGUCCUCCCUUCCACGCUUCCUCCUGACGUGAAGCCUGCAGCCUCAUGGCAGGACUGUGUCACAGCCCCUCACCAGCCUUCCAGCUUCCAGACCCUCUGCAUCCUCUAAUGAAGGUUUUGUAAUAAUUUUUGUGGCAUUUGUUUUGAGUGUCCCAUUGGCACAACUUAAGGGCUCCUCCAAAUAAUGAUUUUAGAUGCACAAAAUAAAAUUCAUCGGCUUACCAAGUAAACCAAUUAUACUGAAAUACAGUUAUUGAAAGAGAAGCCCCCAUGCACAAACAUAUGCUAUAGCCACAUAUGUGCUUCUCUAUUAACGCCUCAGACAACAAGAUGCAGUGACAGGUUCAGGAACAACCAUAAUUUUAAAGCUGUGAUGCGUGUAAAUGAUAUUUUUAUAUAUCUGCAACAACUGUAAGGGGAUAUGAAAAUAUCCAUAACUUCUGUGCUGAUAAAUAUACAAGAACUGCUGAUACUAUUGCAGUCUGUUGCUUACAUUAAAAAUAGAAGAAAACGCCGCAUUCCAAUCAAAGAUUAGUGUAAAUAAAGCUGUUAAGUUUUUCCCUCCUAGGUACAUAAAUCCCAAGUUCAGAGUCCCUACUUUAAUCAGUCCUGCCUUGUAGCUUCCUGGACAAAUUUCCCCACAUAAUCUUUUCAUUAUGUCACUUCUUUCUUCAACCUGCUCUGGCUGCCUAUUGCUUAUUGGACCAAAAUCAACCGCUGAGCUUGGCAUCCAACAGCCUUCAUGAUACUUGCUACCCUACCUGUCCAGACUUUUCUGACAUCAUCUUUCACUUUGGAUUCUGCUCUCCAGCUGGGCUGAUUUCUUUGUUGUCCAGAGAACACAGGAAGUGCAUACCUCUUUGUUUCACUCAGGCUUCUAUAUUUGCUAGUGAAAGAAACAUAAUUUGCUUAAGCAAAAGAGGAUUCAAGCAUGAAUAGAUCCAGGUGCGCAAAUAAUGCUUCCUGGUGUCUUUCUCUCUACAUCUCUCGAUUCUUCUUUUCUUUGCAUUGGUUUUAAUUUCAGGUAGGCUCUCCUUUUUUUUCUGGAAAGUUAACACCAGAAAUCCAGGCUUUCUUACUAUUUUUUUGAGUUUACCGAUCUUAGCAGAAACUGAAUCUUAUUCCAAAUGGUGCCAACAAAAGCCCUUGGAAUUCCUAGCUGGGAUGAAGCUUGGGUGCUUUCUCUUUUCUUAAAUUAACUACCGAGAACACAGGGCUAGAAUAUUCUGACUGAACAGGCCUAGGUAAUGUGCCCAGUCCCAGAGCUGGGGAUGAUGUCAGCCUACUCAAAUCACAAGGAGAGAACAGGGAAGGGGUGUACCCCAAAAUAAAAUCAGGUUGCUAUUACCAGCAGAAUGGUCCUUAAAAUGGGCAGGCAAAAACAAUAGAUACCUGCUACUUCUUUUAAGGCUGGGUUCUAGUUCCUUCCACAAAGUAUGUUCUUCCCAUUCAUUUUUCUUUAGACAAAUUCCUUCAUUCACAGAAGGGAAGGUGAGCAUCACUGAGCAUGUACUGUGUGCCAAGAACUUCACACCCAUGUACCAGGCUUGAAAUUCAUAGUCACAGCUCUCAAGAACAGCAGUGUAAUUCAAUUUAUUUCUCUAUAAUCAAACUCAAAUGCUCUUUGCAGUGGGAGGAAAUUUUUGUCACAUCAAGAUAACUCAGAUUCUUCUGGCUUAACACUUAAUUUCUUUUUGCAUCGAUACUCGAUCAAUUCAGGCUUUAAAUUUAGUUCAUUCAAAGUUGAAAUUCCCUAUCAAGGUUGGUCUCUCUUCUUAGGGCUUCUCCUUUCUCUCUUCCCUCUUCCCCUCCAGGAUGCUGACUGCGUACAGAGGAAAGCACAGAGCAUCACAGCUGCAAGGGGAGGCUGUAUUCCAUUGGCUGUCCUCACUGGCCUCCUCUGAGCUCACUCACUGUUGCUUGUGGAGGGCAUGCUUUACUUCCUGCUACAGCCUUGCUGUCCUUACUGCUGUCCAUGGACCAAGUCAUGGGCCGUAGUCACGAUGUCUGUGUGCUUGACGUCCUUCUCCUUCUGACCCCAGGCCCCUCUCAAUGCAUGGAUUCUCUCAGCCUUUUGCUGGGUCCCUCCACUGGGGCAGGAGGAAUUAGAGAUCGCUGUGGGAACCCCAAAUGAGAUCUCAGGUGCUCUUGCUGCCUAAAAUCUACAAGCCUCCAUUUGCCUUCCUACUUUACACAUUUUACAGAGUGUGGGGCACACCAUGAGGAGUUCUCAGGGGGAACUAUUGAAGUGAGUUAGGGUAGAAGCCCCUUUAUCCCUGGCACAUCCUGAAUUCAUCCUCCCUGGCUUUUCCAGCAUCCCACACACAUCUGCCUGCCACUUUCCCCGUGGGGCAGGAGGACCACAUCCCACCUGUAACCUCGUCCUCUUAGACGUUCAUCUAGGUCAUGCCCUAGGCUUUUAUCUCCUCCCAGCCUGGCAGCUGAACUUCUCUCAGGACACAUCCCCUUCCUCCAUCCUCUGAGCCUCUGAGUUCACAAGCUUUUGAUCUUUGGAACCAGCAAUCACUUUUUUUUCUCUUUCUCUCUCAAAAAAUCUCAGCUCUUACAAAAUGAAAGUCAUAGCUUUCACAGCUAUUGUCUCUGAAUAUAUUUCGGGAGUCUAUUGUGAAUGUCAAAAGCUAACCAUCUAAUGUUCCGCUCUCGCCUGAGUUCUGUUGUCUUCCUGAAGCCUGGAUGUCUCAGCCUCCAGGCUGGAGAGCAACGGGUCAACCAAAACAACCUGUGUUAGUCUCUUAUUGCUGCCAAAACAAACUGCCAGAACUUAGUGACUUAAAAUAAUUUAUUGUCUUACAGUUCUGAAGGUAAGAGGUACCAAAUGGCUUUUAUUGGGCUAAAGUCAUGGUGUCUGCAGGACUGUGUUCCUUCUGGAGGCUGUAGGGGAGAAUCAUUUCCUUGCCUUUUCCUGCUUCUGGAAGCUCUCUGUACUCCUGAGUUUGUGGCCCAGCACCCUCCAACCUCUGUUUCUAUCUUCACGUCUUCUCUGACUCUGAUCCUCCUGCCUCCCCCCUAUAAAGACCCCUGUGAUUAUAUUGGGCUCACCUAGAUACCCCAAGAUAGUCUCCCCAUCUCAAGAUCCUUAACUUAAUUACAUCCUUAAAGCCUUUUUACCGUAUAAUGUAACAUAUUCAUAAGUUCCAAGGAUUAGGAUGUGAGCAUCUUUGGGGGCCAUUAUUCAGCCUGGCACACUACCUAAAAUGAAACUUUAUGUAAAAAAAAUUGUAAGAUAUUACCUUGAUCUACCUUCUAAUUCCUUCAAUCCUCCCAACAACCCUGUGAGUCGAGUCUAUUAUUCUCAUUUGACAAAAGAGGAAAUUAAAGGUAAAUUUGGGCCUAUGAUGGCCUGACCCUAAA